GCACAAGCGGUGGAGCAUGUGGUUUAAUUCGACGCAACGCGAAGAACCUUACCUGGGCUUGACAUCUGCGGAAUUUCUAUGAAGUAGGAAGUGCCUUCGGGAGCCGCAAGACAGGUGCUGCAUGGCUGUCGUCAGCUCGUGUCGUGAGAUGUUGGGUUAAGUCCCGCAACGAGCGCAACCCUUAUCUUUAGUUACCAUCAUUCAGUUGGGGACUCUAAAGAUACUGCCCCGGUCAACGGGGAGGAAGGUGGGAUGACGUCAAGUCCUCAUGGCCCUUAUGUCCAGGGCUACACACGUGCUACAAUGGGCAGUACAAAGGGUAGCAAGCCUGCGAAGGUGAGCCAAUCUCAAAAAGCUGUUCGUAGUUCGGAUUGGAGUCUGCAACUCGACUCCAUGAAGCUGGAAUCGCUAGUAAUCGCGGAUCAGCAUGCCGCGGUCGAAUACGUUCCCGGGCCUU
This 457-nucleotide ribosomal RNA is filed under the name uncultured Desulfobacterium sp. RNAcentral's name for it is "bacterial SSU rRNA". It matches the Rfam family "Bacterial small subunit ribosomal RNA", at positions 923 to 1382 of the family's 1533-position model. Lineage: Bacteria; Pseudomonadati; Thermodesulfobacteriota; Desulfobacteria; Desulfobacterales; Desulfobacteriaceae. The record is from RNAcentral.